UACGUAGGCGGCAAGCGUUGUCCGGAAUUAUUGGGCGUAAAGCGCGCGCAGGCGGUCUCUUAAGUCUGAUGUGAAAGCCCCCGGCUCAACCGGGGAGGGCCAUUGGAAACUGGGAGACUUGAGUACAGAAGAGGAGAGUGGAAUUCCAUGUGUAGCGGUGAAAUGCGUAGAUAUGUGGAGGAACACCAGUGGCGAAGGCGACUCUCUGGUCUGUAACUGACGCUGAGGCGCGACAGCGUGGGGAGCAAACAGG
RNAcentral lists this ribosomal RNA (253 nucleotides) under uncultured bacterium. RNAcentral describes it as "partial 16S ribosomal RNA". It matches the Rfam family "Bacterial small subunit ribosomal RNA", at positions 524 to 776 of the family's 1533-position model. The record is from RNAcentral.